Molecule: long non-coding RNA, 1522 nt
Filed under: Triticum aestivum (bread wheat)
Lineage: Eukaryota; Viridiplantae; Streptophyta; Magnoliopsida; Poales; Poaceae
Description: long non-coding RNA (TAES_LNC027796)
Source: RNAcentral
UACGUGCAUAGCUUUGCACUGUUAAGGUCAUGAAACCAACCCACUUACAAGCAUGGCAUCAACUAUUACUUCACAGGGCAAUUGAAUUGCUGCACAUACAGGAACUAUUAUUCUACAGGAAACUAUCUCCUAAUUUCUUGCUCUCUAGUUUGAGAGUAAUUUGGCUUUGGAUGGUUAAGGUCAUGAAAACAACUAAGUUAUUCAAGCAUGACAUUAGCUAUUCCUUCACAAGUCAACUGAAUAGUUGCAUAUAAAAGAUCUAUUAUAUUCUACAAGAAAAGUUCUCAUAAUUAUUUCAUCAAUAGUGAUUGCUUGCACUGGUAGAUCAUAAACCAUCAUAUUGAUAACACUUACCUAUCUGCAUAUGUCCAACUUUUAUUCAAUACUAGCUGAACUAAGCUGAAAAAUAAAAUCAAAAUCAAAGCAUUUAUAUGCCUCGCAAUGGAUAACAGGAACAAUGUAGCUGAAAAAUAAAGUCAAAAUCUGAACCAAACAGAUCUGAGAAAUACUUUAUACAUGUCAAAAUCAAGGCCUAGCAAUGCCCCACAAUGGAUCAGGAACACUUUAGUUGUUGCAGGAACUAUUGCUACGCAAGUACAAUUUUAUCAAACAUGAACACCACCUUCCAGCGUGCGUGCGUGCGUGUGUGUGUGUGUGUGUGUAUUUGAUGAUUGACUAGCCAAGUUUACAUGCAUAUAUCUGAAUAUUAAUGACCUUAUUUCUGAUAGCAUAGAGUUUUGAAUGAGUGCUUUGUUUCACGCUUCUCUUGAAUAAGAGAAACAGAGACAUGAUAAUGUAAGGAUCGAGGAGGUAUGCACAUGAAUUAAUUUUCAAAUAGAUAUCAUCGCUUUAAAUGGAACAUCUUGAAGCUUUCCUUCCCCACUAUAAAAACUGAGCGAGAUUUAUCUCAAUAAUGUUUCAGUUAUAAAAAACAAGAGAAACUAUCUGUGCAUACAAGUGUUUUAGAAGCUACAAUAUAGUAGUGGUCAGGAUAUAGGUUCCAUUUGUUUCAUCCAUCAUUAUAUAGUGUAAUUUCUGUGGAUUGAUACUAGUGACCACAAUGCACAUGCAAUACACUGGAAAACACUAAUACAAUUAUUGUUCACUCGGUUCGAUUGGUAAGUUUACCUUCUAUUAUAAUACAAGCAGUCUCCAGUAUAUGAUUUUGUUCAAAUGUCCAUUGUCGAAACCUAAACAGUAAGAAACCAGCAUGUAACCUGUUAGUCAUAAAUUCUGCAAGGUGUAAAAUUGAUAAUAUAGGUUCCAACAAAAACAACAAAAUUGUAGAAUGACAUAUCAACAUGUCAGUUAAGGGUUUAAAAAUAGCACAAAUUGGAGUAAAAUGUCCAUAUCGUGUAGUUCACAUUAGAAAACAACAAAACAAGUUAUUUCUCAACUUAUCUCAGCAAAGAAAUAAGUAAUGACUAAUGACAUGUAUAUUGUGUAGGGGCAGAGUUGAUAUGCUGCACUGUACCCAUAUGACUCUUGACCAACUGUUAUUUACCAUGUUCAGACAAAAUUC